Molecule: non-coding RNA, 73 nt
Organism: Podarcis lilfordi (Lilford's wall lizard)
Lineage: Eukaryota; Metazoa; Chordata; Lepidosauria; Squamata; Lacertidae
Source: the annotation of a GenBank genome assembly
GGAAGCUGUAGCUCAGAAGUAGAGUAUCUGCUUCCUACACAGGAUGUCCCGGGUUCAAGUCUCAACACCUCCA